Molecule: ribosomal RNA, 253 nt
Filed under: uncultured bacterium
Lineage: Bacteria
Description: partial 16S ribosomal RNA
Rfam family: Bacterial small subunit ribosomal RNA
Source: RNAcentral
UACGUAGGGUCCGAGCGUUGUCCGGAAUUAUUGGGCGUAAAGAGCUCGUAGGCGGUCUGUCGCGUCGGCUGUGAAAACUCGGGGCUCAACCCCGAGCCUGCAGUCGAUACGGGCAGACUAGAGUGCGGUAGGGGAGACUGGAAUUCCUGGUGUAGCGGUGAAAUGCGCAGAUAUCAGGAGGAACACCGAUGGCGAAGGCAGGUCUCUGGGCCACUACUGACGCUGAGAAGCGAAAGCAUGGGGAGCGAACAGG